Molecule: ribosomal RNA, 504 nt
Filed under: uncultured bacterium
Lineage: Bacteria
Description: bacterial SSU rRNA
Rfam family: Bacterial small subunit ribosomal RNA
Source: RNAcentral
GGCAGCAGUGGGGAAUCUUAGACAAUGGGGGAAACCCUGAUCUAGCCAUGCCGCGUGAGCGAUGAAGGCCUUAGGGUUGUAAAGCUCUUUCGCUGGGGAAGAUAAUGACGGUACCCANUAAAGAAGCCCCGGCUAACUCCGUGCCAGCAGCCGCGGUAAUACGGAGGGGGCNAGCGUUGUUCGGAAUUACUGGGCGUAAAGCGCGCGUAGGCGGAUUGGAAAGUUGGGGGUGAAAUCCCGGGGCUCAACCCCGGAACUGCCUCCAAAACUAUCAGUCUGGAGUUCGAGAGAGGUGAGUGGAAUUGCGAGUGUAGAGGUGAAAUUCGUAGAUAUUCGCAGGAACACCAGUGGCGAAGGCGGCUCACUGGCUCGAUACUGACGCUGAGGUGCGAAAGUGUGGGGAGCAAACAGGAUUAGAUACCCUGGUAGUCCACACCGUAAACGAUGAAUGCCAGACGUCGGCAAGCAUGCUGUCGGUGUCACACCUAACGGAUAAGCAUCCGC